Molecule: ribosomal RNA, 158 nt
Filed under: Calonectria ilicicola
Lineage: Eukaryota; Fungi; Ascomycota; Sordariomycetes; Hypocreales; Nectriaceae
Also listed under: 1 other name
Description: 5.8S ribosomal RNA
Rfam family: 5.8S ribosomal RNA
About the family: 5.8S ribosomal RNA (5.8S rRNA) is a component of the large subunit of the eukaryotic ribosome. It is transcribed by RNA polymerase I as part of the 45S precursor that also contains 18S and 28S rRNA. Functionally, it is thought that 5.8S rRNA may be involved in ribosome translocation.
Source: RNAcentral
AAACUUUCAACAACGGAUCUCUUGGUUCUGGCAUCGAUGAAGAACGCAGCGAAAUGCGAUAAGUAAUGUGAAUUGCAAAAUUCAGUGAAUCAUCGAAUCUUUGAACGCACAUUGCGCCCGCCAGUAUUCUGGCGGGCAUGCCUGUUCGAGCGUCAUUU